Molecule: ribosomal RNA, 611 nt
Filed under: Streptomyces sp.
Lineage: Bacteria; Bacillati; Actinomycetota; Actinomycetes; Kitasatosporales; Streptomycetaceae
Description: bacterial SSU rRNA
Rfam family: Bacterial small subunit ribosomal RNA
Source: RNAcentral
GAUGAACCUCCUUCGGGAGGGGAUUAGUGGCGAACGGGUGAGUAACACGUGGGCAAUCUGCCCUUCACUCUGGGACAAGCCCUGGAAACGGGGUCUAAUACCGGAUACGACUGCGGAAGGCAUCUUCCGCGGUGGAAAGCUCCGGCGGUGAAGGAUGAGCCCGCGGCCUAUCAGCUUGUUGGUGGGGUAAUGGCCUACCAAGGCGACGACGGGUAGCCGGCCUGAGAGGGCGACCGGCCACACUGGGACUGAGACACGGCCCAGACUCCUACGGGAGGCAGCAGUGGGGAAUAUUGCACAAUGGGCGAAAGCCUGAUGCAGCGACGCCGCGUGAGGGAUGACGGCCUUCGGGUUGUAAACCUCUUUCAGCAGGGAAGAAGCGAAAGUGACGGUACCUGCAGAAGAAGCGCCGGCUAACUACGUGCCAGCACCCGCGGUAAUACGUAGGGCGCAAGCGUUGUCCGGAAUUAUUGGGCGUAAAGAGCUCGUACGCGGCCAGUCACGUCGGAUGUGAAAGCCCGAGGCUUAACCUCGGGUCUGCAUUCGAUACGGGCUGGCUAGAGUGUGGUAGGGGAGAUCGGAAUUCCUGGUGUAGCGGUGAAGUGCGCAGA